RNAcentral lists this ribosomal RNA (467 nucleotides) under uncultured bacterium. RNAcentral's name for it is "partial 16S ribosomal RNA". It matches the Rfam family "Bacterial small subunit ribosomal RNA", at positions 28 to 507 of the family's 1533-position model. The record is from RNAcentral.
GACGAACGCUGGCGGCGUGCUUAACACAUGCAAGUCGAACGGAAAGGCCUCUUUCGGGGGGUACUCGAGUGGCGAACGGGUGAGUAACACGUGAGUAACCUGCCCUUGACUUUGGGAUAACUUCAAGAAACUGGGGCUAAUACCGGAUAGGAGCUCCUGCUGCAUGGUGGGGGUUGGAAAGUUUCGGCGGUUGGGGAUGGACUCGCGGCUUAUCAGCUUGUUGGUGGGGUAGUGGCUUACCAAGGCUUUGACGGGUAGCCGGCCUGAGAGGGUGACCGGCCACAUUGGGACUGAGAUACGGCCCAGACUCCUACGGGAGGCAGCAGUGGGGAAUAUUGCACAAUGGGUGGAAGCCUGAUGCAGCAACGCCGUGUGCGGGAUGACGGCCUUCGGGUUGUAAACCGCUUUCGCUCAUGACGAAGCUUUGUGUGACGGUAGUGGGUAAAGAAGCACCGGCUAACUACGUG